CACGUGCUGGCCAACAAGGAGAAGUGCGCCAACCACGGUCACAUGUAGACCAGAGCUUGGCAGCCAUGGUUUGGUCUGCCAAGCUACAGUCACCAUUCCAUCCACCUCCCUAGCUGUUGUACGUGUCCUAAUUCUCAUUGUUUCUGUAGACGGUGCUCUUUGCAUCUUGUAUGUAAUUUUUUGUUUUUUUACAGGCAAUCCUCCCUCUUAGGAGGUGUGCGUAUAAAAAUAGUUUGGACCUCUUAAGAGUACUUCCACCUAUCGGAGCGUGACCUCCUCGAGCGUGAGUCUGCGGGACCCCCUUCGUGAGUUUGGCCCAGGGGUGCGGGGUUGAGCCCGAAAGGCCUCGUGGUCAGGAGAGAAUGCAGAAAAAGCGAGGGAAGAGAAGAGGAGUUGGGGGGUCGGGGCCCUCAGCGAACAUAGGGGGAAUUAUACAGGUUCAGGCCACUGCGAGGUGUAAUACC
RNAcentral lists this long non-coding RNA (464 nucleotides) under Oryza brachyantha (malo sina). RNAcentral describes it as "long non-coding RNA (OBRA_LNC002630)". Lineage: Eukaryota; Viridiplantae; Streptophyta; Magnoliopsida; Poales; Poaceae. The record is from RNAcentral.